GACGAACGCUGGCGGCGUGCUUAACACAUGCGAGUCGAACGGAAAGGCCCUGCUUUUGUGGGGUGCUCGAGUGGCGAACGGGUGAGUAACACGUGAGUAACCUGCCCUUGACUUUGGGAUAACUUCAGGAAACUGGGGCUAAUACCGGAUAGGAGCUCCUGCUGCAUGGUGGGGGUUGGAAAGUUUCGGCGGUUGGGGAUGGACUCGCGGCUUAUCAGCUUGUUGGUGGGGUAGUGGCUUACCAAGGCUUUGACGGGUAGCCGGCCUGAGAGGGUGACCGGCGACAUUGGGACUGAGAGACGGCCCAGACUCCUACGGGAGGCAGCAGUGGGGAAUAUUGCACAAUGGGCGGAAGCCUGAUGCAGCAACGCCGCGUGCGGGAUGACGGCCUUCGGGUUGUAAACCGCUUUCGCCUGUGACGAAGCGUGAGUGACGGUAAUGGGUAAAGAAGCACCGGCUAACUACGUG
This 468-nucleotide ribosomal RNA is filed under the name uncultured bacterium. Its description in RNAcentral is "partial 16S ribosomal RNA". It matches the Rfam family "Bacterial small subunit ribosomal RNA", at positions 28 to 507 of the family's 1533-position model. The record is from RNAcentral.